RNAcentral lists this ribosomal RNA (564 nucleotides) under uncultured archaeon. Its description in RNAcentral is "bacterial SSU rRNA". It matches the Rfam family "Archaeal small subunit ribosomal RNA", at positions 326 to 900 of the family's 1478-position model. The record is from RNAcentral.
CGGGGUGCAGCAGGCGCGAAAACUUUACAAUGCGGGAAACCGUGAUAAGGGAACUCCGAGUGCCCGUAAAAUCGGGCUGUCCAUCUGUUUAAAUAACAGGUGAAGAAAGGGCCGGGCAAGACCGGUGCCAGCCGCCGCGGUAAUACCGGCGGCUCGAGUGGUGGCCACUAUUACUGGGCUUAAAGCGGUCGUAGCUGGUCUGUUAAGUCUCUGGGGAAAUCUACUGGCUUAACCAAUAGGCGUUUCAGGGAUACUGGCAGACUAGGGACCGGGAGAGGUGAGGGGUACUCCAGGGGUAGGAGUGAAAUCCUGUAAUCCUUGGGGGACCACCUGUGGCGAAGGCGCCUCACCAGAACGGCUCCGACAGUGAGGGACGAAAGCUGGGGGAGCAAACCGGAUUAGAUACCCGGGUAGUCCCAGCCGUAAACGAUGCGCGUUAGGUGUAUCGGUGACCACGAGUCACCGAGGUGCCGAAGAGAAAUCGUGAAACGUGCCGCCUGGGAAGUACGGUCGCAAGGCUGAAACUUAAAGGAAUUGGCGGGGGAGCACAAGGGCGAAUCGCGG